Molecule: long non-coding RNA, 1697 nt
Organism: Brienomyrus brachyistius
Lineage: Eukaryota; Metazoa; Chordata; Actinopteri; Osteoglossiformes; Mormyridae
Exons: 2
Source: RefSeq, a predicted model, not a curated record
UAUUUUUUGUCGUUUUUAUUUCUUAGUUCUGUACACAGCAUGGCUUAACAAUCAUUAAAGCAUCAGUCGUCUGCUUUUCUGUGCAAAAAGACUAACAAAUGCAUCCAUAUCUAGGCCUGUGGUUAUGGCCUUCUCGUGAGCCAGAAUAACUAAAUUUCUUUUUCUUUCAUGUAGCAUAGUGCGGCGGAAGGGAGUAAGAACACGAGACAAAGUGGAGAAAGAGCUCUCGCAUGAUGCAGAUGAUAUUCCAAUCACAAGGGCGGUCACAUACAUGCGAUGGAGCUGAGGAAAGGCAUUCUUAUAACCGUGUAGAUAUUUGCAAACGAGGACUUAACAUGGCAACAUCCAGAAAAGAGGGAGAUUGAGGUUGAAGGCAAUUAACUGCUUUCAUGAGAUCAAGAUUACUUUUGGAGAAUCUUGUCUCCAUCUCUACAAUGGCUAUGUCCAAAAUGUUGAGAAGAGCUCUCUUCAGAGCCUGGCAAGGAGUCAUGGAGUCGUCUGCAUGGCCUACAGUGGACAUAGUGACACUAUCUGUGAGCAGUGAGCUCAUUGUUCUCUUUCUUUUAGCACCUGGUGCAGGCAUGCUGGUUAAUGCCUCGCUCUCCUCAUCUCUCAUCUGCUUCAAAGCCCGUAGAGAUGCACUGACUACUUCUGAAGCACAGCACAGGUCAACAGAAUGAGCCUGCAGCAUAACAUUUGCAGACGUCAACGAACCCAGAACUUUUAGGAGAAAUUUUCCUAUUUCAAAGAAAUUAUGCCUCCUUAACAUUAUCAAUAACCCUGAUGCUUCUGUACAGAUAUCAAUAGCAGCGGCUCUGUCCUCUGUAACUUCUGACAGGAUACUCAUAAUAGCAUCCUGAUUCUCCACAAGGCACUUGGUCACAUCAUGAUGGCUUGUCCACCUGAUCUCCAACAGUCGUUUAAGGGAGGGAACAUUAUAGUUCUGUGACACAUAAUGACGGUGAAAAAAUGAGUGCAGUGAUCCUGAUAGAUCAAAAAAGGUUUUUGCACAUGGCUCUGCUUGCAUUGCAUGGACCACUGCCAAGUGCAGCUGGUGGUUAUAGCAGUGGAUAUAAGGAAUAUCCUUUCCUACCUUCUUUUGCAAUAAGGCCUGAACCCCACCCCUGACUCCACUCAUGACAGCAGCUCCAUCAUAGCACUGACUGAUAAUUUCAGCUGCUCUAUAGCCUGAGUCAGAAAGAUGCUCAAGAAUUUGGGUGGUAAUAAAUUCAGCAUUUAACUGACUGAGGUCAAGCAGACCAAUCAGGUGUUCCUCUGGAAUGCCUUUAGAGACAAAUCUAACCAUGACGGACAGAUUCUCCACAUUGCAUCUGUCCCUAGUUCCAUCACUUUUAAUGCAAAACCCAGCGUAAUCUGCGUUGUCAUAAUUAUCUUUGAUCUUUUUCAAUACCAUUUUGGCCAGAGUAUCAAUAAUUUCAUUUUGUAUGUUGUGAGAGGUGUAUUUUGCAUUUAGUGGGAUAUGUUUGUUUAUUUCAUUAAAUUUGGGGUCCUUUGCUAGUGUGUAGUCAACCAUUUUUAAGAACAGUCCUGCAGAGAAAUCAUCUUCAUUUGAGCUCUCCACACUGCCACGAAGUGGAAGUUCAUUUACUGCUAGGAACUGAACUACUUCUCCAAUUGUUUUUAUAUAAUAUCUAUUUUUUUCCAUUUGUGUUGGCCCUAAUAAAUUACCAAUAGUU